GACGAACGCUGGCGGCGUGCCUAAUACAUGCAAGUAGAACGCUGAAGGAGGAGCUUGCUUCUCUGGAUGAGUUGCGCACGGGUGAGUAACGCGUAGGUAACCUGCCUGUUAGCGGGGGAUAACUAUUGGAAACGAUAGCUAAUACCGCAUAAUAGUAGAUGUUGCAUGACAUUUGCUUAAAAGGUGCAAUUGCAUCACUACCAGAUGGACCUGCGUUGUAUUAGCUAGUUGGUGGGGUAACGGCUCACCAAGGCGACGAUACAUAGCCGACCUGAGAGGGUGAUCGGCCACACUGGGACUGAGACACGGCCCAGACUCCUACGGGAGGCAGCAGUAGGGAAUCUUCGGCAAUGGACGGAAGGCUGACCGAGCAACGCCGCGUGAGUGAAGAAGGUUUUCGGAUCGUAAAGCUCUGUUGUAAGAGAAGAACGAGUGUGAGAGUGGAAAGUUCACACUGUGACGGUAUCUUACCAGAAAGGGACGGCUAACUACGUG
This 495-nucleotide ribosomal RNA is filed under the name uncultured bacterium. RNAcentral describes it as "partial 16S ribosomal RNA". It matches the Rfam family "Bacterial small subunit ribosomal RNA", at positions 28 to 507 of the family's 1533-position model. The record is from RNAcentral.